AUCUUGCGCAAUGGGCGAAAGCCUGACGCAGCAAUGCCGCGUGAGGGAAGAAGGUCUUAGGAUUGUAAACCUCUUUCAGCAGGGAAGAAAACAGACGGUACCUGCAGAAGAAGCCCCGGCUAACUACGUGCCAGCAGCCGCGGUAAUACGUAGGGGGCGAGCGUUGUCCGGAAUCAUUGGGCGUAAAGAGCGUGUAGGCGGACUGGAAGGUCUGGUGUGAAAGCCCGGGGCUCAACCCCGGAGGGUCACCGGAAACCGACAGUCUUGAAUCUGGAAGAGGAGAGUGGAAUUCCUGGUGUAGCGGUGGAAUGCGCAGAUAUCAGGAGGAACACCAAUGGCGAAGGCAGCUCUCUGGUACAUGAUUGACGCUGAGACGCGAAAGCGUGGGGAGCGAAC
Molecule: ribosomal RNA, 396 nt
Filed under: uncultured bacterium
Lineage: Bacteria
Description: bacterial SSU rRNA
Rfam family: Bacterial small subunit ribosomal RNA
Source: RNAcentral